Magnolia sinica is the source of this 613-nucleotide long non-coding RNA. RefSeq lists it as uncharacterized. The record is from RefSeq and is a predicted model, not a curated record. The transcript has 4 exons. NCBI's taxonomy places the organism in Eukaryota, Viridiplantae, Streptophyta, Magnoliopsida, Magnoliales, Magnoliaceae.
GAAACAAAUCACUCUUGUUGAUAAUGAUGGUGUCAAGUUAAAGUUUCUCUUGUGGGGAGAGCAGGUUCUCCUUGCGAAUCUUUUCAGUGUAGGAAGUAUGCUUGCACUGGAUAGACCUUUCAUUGCAAAUGUUAUAGACAGUAAUAUGCAAACAAAUGCUGAAAUCUGUCUUGAAUAUGGUAGUGCCACGCAGUUAUAUUUGGUCCCCUUUAUUCAACAUGAAGAGCAGGUACUUGUAGCAUCCACACCAAAUUGGUGUCAAGGAUCAAGGCUGUUGAAUGGAUUGAGUCAAAGUCAGGGUCCUAAAGUUUCUCAAGUGGCAUUGCCCUGCUGAAGGUUCUAUUGACUUCAGUAAUUAUCCUUUCAGAUCAUUUAUUGUUGAUCUUCGUGACAAGAUGACUGGAAUCAACCUUUAUGGUGCUGUAACAAACAUCUUAAGAGAAGGCAAUACUGAAGAAGCUAUAUUUUCUCUAACAAUUGAAGAUACAACAGGAGCAAUUGUGGCAAAGCUACACUUUGUUAGAUCUUGGUAAUGACAAACGAUCACUUCUUAAGUAUUGCUUAAGAAGACAAUGUAGUAUUUGUGAAGACAAUGUAGUAUUUGUGACUGCAA